GUUCUUUCUUCACAACCUACAAUAAUAGCAGCAUUUCUUUAAGGAUGUAUAUAAAAUGGUGUCAACACACAGAGGAUUAUUAUUAAGAGCCAUUUUAGACGUUUCCGGAUAAAUUAAGUAUUCGUUUUUCACAUGAUGGAUAUAUGUUUCCCAGAAUUUAUGUACAUGGAUACCACAAUAACUUGUGAAUUUAGAUGAACCACUUGACAAUAUGUCAUGGGAACCAUGGAGUAUAUGCCCAAGAAAGACGUGCUUGGAUAUUCAGUGUCUGUAAGUACAGACCCAAUGGCUGACUGAUAUUUAUAGGAUAGUGGUUUUCUUUCAAAAGUGAUACAACUGACAACCUAUACAAUUUCUAUCGGAGGAAUGCAUGAUCAUGCAAAUGUAGGUAAACUAUAAUAUAAUAAUACAAGACUUAUUGGAUUUUCUUUUCUGAUAAAGGCCCUGAUACACAUUUACUGAGCGAUGCCAUACCAUACAAUGUUUAUUACACAUGCUGUUUGAUAUUUCAUACAAUAUUUAUUACUCUGUUUGAUAUCAUUAUAAUGAAUGUGUGCUGAGCUGAAUGAUGAAACAUACACAUAAUGUGAAACUAUGAUAUAUAACAGCACACUAUUUUAUCUUGCUUCCAAUGAUGUAUCAUGUGGCUUCAGCCAAUAUAAUACUUUCUACAGAAUUCAGAUUUGUAUUUACUUUUGCAGUAAACCAUGUUCAAAGUUUGCAAAUAAGUGACCGCUUGUAUUACAUGGGGAGAUUUAUAGCAUAGAAUAGAAUAGCUCAGUCAAUAUGUAUCCAGAUCUUAAGGAUUGUAAAAUGGUGAACUUUUGUAUGCCAUGUGUGACACUAUCUAAAAUACGGCAAGAUACGUCUUCAAGAAUACAAAAGCAUUUACCAAUUUCUUUUCUACAUUUUAAUGUGUACAACAUUCUUGCAUGUGUACACCGACAUAUACUGGUGCACUUCUAAAUGAGGAAUUCACAAAUCUUCGUAUAUCGAAUCUAUUCACUCACCAGCAAUUCUAAAUGUGGAAUAUCUUGGAUUAUUGUGACACACAACCAAAUCUCAUUAGUUUGAAAUCAUGUGCAUUAAGGAUACAGAAUACUGGAUGUACAAUCUCAUUAGUUUGAAAACAUGUGAAUUAAGGAUACAGAAUACUGGAUGUAUGACCUCAUUAGUUUGAAAUCAUGUGCAUUAAGGAUACAGAAUACUGGAUGUACAACCUCGUUAGUAUACUCUUCUGAAUUUGAAGUUACAGUAACAGCCUUAUGGGAUUUUAGCAGCAUUCUAAGCAAGGGAACUUCAAGAUACAGAUCUGUUUGACAACAGUGGCGGAAACACGAGGAGGAUAGUGGAUCACUCGACAAGUGUCUCAAGAGGGAUUACAACGGGCCAAGUCACAUUACUUAUCGGAUGACAUGGGGGAGCAGUCACAAAUACAACAGGAGUGGCUCACCGCACUGGACUAAGACAAACACAUCACAGAGAGAAAGAACACUGUGAAUGAUGUAAGACAAAUGAAGCACAAGAACAGGAAAAUAAACCCAUAGUGAAACUAUGAGACAACAGUUGUGACAUGGCAGGCAAUUUAAAUGAAGCUCAGUUGGACAGGUAAGAUUUUUGCUGCUGUCAUUUCACUUUUCAAGCCAACCAAAUUGGAAGGAUUAACAAAAUUCAGACCAAAAACCUGGAUUUACUGGACCAAAAUCAAGUAAGUUUCUUUAAAAUCAUUGUUGCUAUAAAUGUUUAUUUUAUAAGCAGGAAGUUACCUCCAUUUCAAUGAUAGUUCAUUAAACCCCAUCAGUUUACACCAUUGUACUUCUAGACACUUUAAUCAAGAAUUGUCUGUCCAGAAACUACAAAAAUACUGCAUUAUUAUAUAUUUUAACAAGAGAUAAUUGCUGCAUUCUUUAGUCAUGUUAUAUUUAACUUCUUUUUUUGUAAUCCAGAUUAUUUUUCUGUUAUUGUAUCAUAGGCUUGUAUCCACUACUUGCAUCUCUUGGUGGAUAAAACACAAUUUUAUUUUAACAAUGAUUUCCCUUUUUGUUUUUCCUGUACCAAAGAAGAUUUAAGGGAUAUGUGUUUUAUAGUCAGAAGCCAUCAUGUAUCAUUUCUAAUCUGUAACAUUCAGCUUGGAAUCAAAUCAUUAAAGUAGAAAAUAA
RNAcentral lists this long non-coding RNA (2159 nucleotides) under Gigantopelta aegis. Its description in RNAcentral is "uncharacterized LOC121374052". The record is from RNAcentral. Lineage: Eukaryota; Metazoa; Mollusca; Gastropoda; Neomphalida; Peltospiridae.